CAGUCGCCGCGGUAAUACGAAGGGAGCUAGCGUUGUUCGGAUUUACUGGGCGUAAAGGGCGCGUAGGCGGACUGAUAAGUCAGGGGUGAAAUCCCAAGGCUCAACCUUGGAACUGCCUUUGAUACUGUUUGUCUUGAGUUCGAGAGAGGUAAGUGGAACUGCGAGUGUAGGGGUGAAAUUCGUAGAUAUUCGCAAGAAUACCAGUGGCGAAGGCAGCUUACUGGCUCGAAACUGACGCUGAGGCGCGAAAGCGUGGGGAGCAAACAGGAUUAGAUACCCCCGUAGUCCCUGUCUCUUAUAC
RNAcentral lists this ribosomal RNA (301 nucleotides) under uncultured bacterium. RNAcentral describes it as "partial 16S ribosomal RNA". It matches the Rfam family "Bacterial small subunit ribosomal RNA", at positions 509 to 807 of the family's 1533-position model. The record is from RNAcentral.